This 1363-nucleotide ribosomal RNA is filed under the name uncultured bacterium. RNAcentral describes it as "bacterial SSU rRNA". It matches the Rfam family "Bacterial small subunit ribosomal RNA", at positions 28 to 1381 of the family's 1533-position model. The record is from RNAcentral.
AUUGAACGCUGGCGGCAGGCCUAACACAUGCAAGUCGAACGGUAACAGGAAACAGCUUGCUGUUUCGCUGACGAGUGGCGGACGGGUGAGUAAUGUCUGGGAAACUGCCUGAUGGAGGGGGAUAACUACUGGAAACGGUAGCUAAUACCGCAUAACGUCGCAAGACCAAAGAGGGGGACCCUCGGGCCUCUUGCCAUCGGAUGUGCCCAGAUGGGAUUAGCUUGUUGGUGGGGUAACGGCUCACCAAGGCGACGAUCCCUAGCUGGUCUGAGAGGAUGACCAGCCACACUGGAACUGAGACACGGUCCAGACUCCUACGGGAGGCAGCAGUGGGGAAUAUUGCACAAUGGGCGCAAGCCUGAUGCAGCCAUGCCGCGUGUAUGAAGAAGGCCUUCGGGUUGUAAAGUACUUUCAGCGGGGAGGAAGGGAGUAAAGUUAAUACCUUUGCUCAUUGACGUUACCCGCAGAAGAAGCACCGGCUAACUCCGUGCCAGCAGCCGCGGUAAUACGGAGGGUGCAAGCGUUAAUCGGAAUUACUGGGCGUAAAGCGCACGCAGGCGGUUUGUUAAGUCAGAUGUGAAAUCCCCGGGCUCAACCUGGGAACUGCAUCUGAUACUGGCAAGCUUGAGUCUCGUAGAGGGGGGUAGAAUUCCAGGUGUAGCGGUGAAAUGCGUAGAGAUCUGGAGGAAUACCGGUGGCGAAGGCGGCCCCCUGGACGAAGACUGACGCUCAGGUGCGAAAGCGUGGGGAGCAAACAGGAUUAGAUACCCUGGUAGUCCACGCCGUAAACGAUGUCGACUUGGAGGUUGUGCCCUUGAGGCGUGGCUUCCGGAGCUAACGCGUUAAGUCGACCGCCUGGGGAGUACGGCCGCAAGGUUAAAACUCAAAUGAAUUGACGGGGGCCCGCACAAGCGGUGGAGCAUGUGGUUUAAUUCGAUGCAACGCGAAGAACCUUACCUGGUCUUGACAUCCACGGAAGUUUUCAGAGAUGAGAAUGUGCCUUCGGGAACCGUGAGACAGGUGCUGCAUGGCUGUCGUCAGCUCGUGUUGUGAAAUGUUGGGUUAAGUCCCGCAACGAGCGCAACCCUUAUCCUUUGUUGCCAGCGGUCCGGCCGGGAACUCAAAGGAGACUGCCAGUGAUAAACUGGAGGAAGGUGGGGAUGACGCCAAGUCAUCAUGGCCCUUACGACCAGGGCUACACACGUGCUACAAUGGCGCAUACAAAGAGAAGCGACCUCGCGAGAGCAAGCGGACCUCAUAAAGUGCGUCGUAGUCCGGAUUGGAGUCUGCAACUCGACUCCAUGAAGUCGGAAUCGCUAGUAAUCGUGGAUCAGAAUGCCACGGUGAAUACGUUCCCGGGCCU